Molecule: non-coding RNA, 115 nt
Organism: Triticum aestivum (bread wheat)
Lineage: Eukaryota; Viridiplantae; Streptophyta; Magnoliopsida; Poales; Poaceae
Source: Rfam
AAUUUACUCCCUCCGUUCGGAAUUACUUGUCGCAGAAAUAAAUGUACCUAGAUGUGUUUUAGUUCUAGAUACAUCUAUUUCCGAGACAAGUAAUUCCGACAGGAGGGAGUAUAUA